This 1865-nucleotide ribosomal RNA is filed under the name Stentor polymorphus. RNAcentral describes it as "bacterial LSU rRNA". It matches the Rfam family "Bacterial large subunit ribosomal RNA", at positions 709 to 2596 of the family's 2925-position model. Lineage: Eukaryota; Ciliophora; Heterotrichea; Heterotrichida; Stentoridae. The record is from RNAcentral.
AUAGAACCGAACCAGGGUGAUCUAAUCGUGACCAGGACGAAGCUUUAGUAAUUUGAAGUGGAGGUCCGAACCCACCAAUGUUGAAAAAUUGGGGGAUGAGUUGCGAUUAGGGGAGAAAUUCUAGUCGAACUCGGAGCUAGCUGGUUCUCUCCGAAAUGCGUUGAGGCGCAGCAAUUUUUCAUUAUACUAGGGGUAAAGCACUGUUUCGAUGCGGGCUGCGAAAGUGGUACUAAAUUGUUGCAAACUUAGAAUACUAGUAUUUAUUUGAUUAGUGAGACAGUGGGGGAUAAGCUCCAUUGUCAAGAGGGAAACAGCCCAGAUUACUAGUUAAGGCCCCUAAAUGUCUACUAAGUGAUAAAGGUUGUUUUAAUACAAAGACAACCAGGAGGUUGGCUUAGAAGCAGUCAUUCCUUUAAAAAGUGCGUAAUAGCUUACUGGUUAAGUGUCAAUGCGCCGAAAAUGAAUGGGGCUAAGUAGAUUGCCGAAACUGUAAGAUUUUUAAUCGGUAGGAGAGCGUUCUAUUUUGGGUGAAGGGAAAGCGUAAGUUUUUAUGGACAAUAUAGAAGUGAGAAUGUCGGCUUAAGUAACGAAAACAUGGGUGGAAAUCCUUUGUCCCGUAAGCCUAAGGUUUCCUCUGCAAGGUUCGUCCACAGAGGGUUAGUCAGGUCUAAGAUGAAAUUGAAAAAUUUAAUCGACGAUAUACAGGUUAAUAUUCCUGUACCUUACUUUAUUUUACUAAGAAGUACAAAGUUGAAUUUUUCAUCCAAAUAUUGGUUUAUUUUGGUUCAAUAAUUUGAUGCGUUGAAAUAUAUUAUAAAAAAUAUAUGAGCUUAAAAUUAUAGCAUAAUGGUAUGCCACGGCAUUCUAAAUUGAAUAAUUUUAUACUUUCGAGAAAAGUUCUUGUAGUGUGUAAUAAUUUUAAGUCUGUACCGCAAACUGACACAGGUGGGCUAAUUGAGUAUAUUAAGGGACGCGAGAUAACACUAUUCUAAGGAACUCGGCAAAUUGGCUCUGUAACUUCGGGAGAAAGAGCGCCUCAUUGUUUGAGGCCGCAGUGAAAUGGCCCAUCUGACUGUUUAUCAAAAACACAUGUCUCUGCUAAGUUGUAAAACGAUGUAUAGGGGCUGACACCUGCCCAGUGCCAGAAGGUUAAAGAAACUUGUUAAAUUUAUAUUGAAGCUUGAGACCUAAGCCCUGGUGAACGGCGGCGAUAACAAUAAUCGUCCUAAGGUAGCAAAAUUCCUUGUCAGGUAAGUUCUGACCCGCACGAAAGGUGUAACAAGAUGGGCGCUGUCUCAGAAAGUGACUCGGUGAAAUAGAAUUGACUGUGAAGAUGCGGUCUAGUUACACUUGGACAGAAAGACCCUAUGAAGCUUUACUGUUAGUUGAAAUUGAUCUUGAAUUUUUAUUGCGCAGAAUAGGUGGGAGACUGUGAUCAUCUUUUUCGGAAGUUUGGGAGUCGCAAUAUGAGAUACCACUCUUUAAAAAUUUGGGCUCUAAUGGUAAUUAAUAGUUUACUUGAAAGUUUCAACGUGACAGUUUUACUGGGGCGGUAGCCUCCCAAAAAGUAACGGAGGCGUACAAAGGCUUUUUCAAUUUGUGUGGAAAUCAUAUUUAGAGCGUAAGGGUAUAAGAAAGCUUGACUGUAAGACGUACAUGUCAAACAGGGAUUAACGUCUGUCCUAAUGAUCCGGCGAUAUCUUGUGGGAGAGUCGCCGCUAACGGAUAAAAGUUACUCUAGGGAUAACAGGCUGAUCUCGCCCAAGAGUUCACAUCGACGGCGAGGUUUGGCACCUGAUGUCGGCUCAUCGCAUCCUGGGGCAGUAGUAUGUUCCAAGGGUUGGGCUGUUCGCCCAUUAAAGCGG